GCCAAGGUUUUGCUAAAUUGAAACACGACUGUACACAGCUCCUAAACUGGAGUGGUCAAUCCCAUCUUGACACACGCACCGACAAGUCAAGUACUUGACUACACCCAGCAGCCUUCUAUCACUGAAUUAAAAAUUUAGGUAGUCCAGUGCCUAAGUGCAGUGAGUUGCUUGCAAGUCACCGUGGCGGUCUCAGGUCGGAGGGAUAUUUAUACCCAUAUUCCAUCGGAGCAAAUCUUGACAGCAAAAAU
RNAcentral lists this long non-coding RNA (248 nucleotides) under Elaeis guineensis (African oil palm). RNAcentral's name for it is "long non-coding RNA (EGUI_LNC071372)". The record is from RNAcentral. Lineage: Eukaryota; Viridiplantae; Streptophyta; Magnoliopsida; Arecales; Arecaceae.